CAGCUAACUGAUUAAUCUCGUUUCAACGUCGAGUUUGCCUCCAAUGGAAAUCUCGUGGGAAAAACUGGCGUAUUCAAUGGGAAUUGUUGGAGCACAUAUCAGAAUCACAUUCCAUAUUAUUCAAGAAAUUUUAAGCUUCAUUUAAAUGGCUCGUUAAACGUGAUAAUGCAUGUCGUUCCCUCAAAUUCUUGACAAUAAUUUCGAACUUCGCACGGGCUCGAUACUCGUAUUUACGGAUCAUAUUUAAUACACUCGAGAGCCUCUACCAAUUCGAUGCGAUAUCGUCAUCUACUCUGGGAACAUGUAAAGUCGUUCAAAUUCGAACGGGAUGCUUCUUAAUGCGAAUAAGCUCUCGAGACUUUAUUGGAUACCUUGAUUCUUAAUCCUUUGGCUUAUCACGCCGAGUCACGGGUGUGUCAUAAAUUAUGGGUCAAAUACGAGAAGCGAGGACUUAUAUUUAAGGUAAUUUUAUCGAGGUCGAGAUAAAAUUCAGGAUUUAUGAAGAAUUUUAUACUAUUAAUUAUAUAAAUUUGAAAUUCAAAGUUUUAACCCUCUCAUGGGGGAGAAUAUAUAUUUCUGAUGAGUAGUGAGUGAGAUUCAUCGUUAAAGUGCAAAGGGUUAAAAUAUAUUAACAGAAAGGAGGAUUAAACUUUGCUGAAUC
This is a long non-coding RNA of Osmia lignaria (orchard mason bee), 661 nucleotides long. RefSeq lists it as uncharacterized. NCBI's taxonomy places the organism in Eukaryota, Metazoa, Arthropoda, Insecta, Hymenoptera, Megachilidae. The record is from RefSeq and is a predicted model, not a curated record.